AUGAUACGCGAGGAACCGUUACCUGGGCUCGAACGUAAGAUGACUGUAGGUGAAGGCUUACAUCUCUUCGGAGCAUUUUACGAGGUGCUGCAUGGUUGUCGUCAGCUCGUGCCGUGAGGUGUCGGGUUAAGUCCCAUAACGAGCGCAACCCCUACCUUUAGUUGCCAUCAGGUUAAGCUGGGGACUCUAAAGGAACUGCCUACGCAAGUAGUGAGGAAGGCGGGGAUGACGUCAAAUCAGCACGGCCCUUACGUCCAGGGCUACACACGUGCUACAAUGGCCGAUACAGAGGGCAGCUACCUGGUGACAGGAUGCAAAUCUCCAAAGUCGGUCUCAGUUCGGAUCGGAGUCUGCAACCCGACUCCGUGUAGCUGGAAUCGCUAGUAAUCGCGCAUCAGCCAUGGCGCGGUGAAUACGUUCCCGGGCCUU
RNAcentral lists this ribosomal RNA (429 nucleotides) under uncultured Sphingobacteriales bacterium. RNAcentral describes it as "bacterial SSU rRNA". It matches the Rfam family "Bacterial small subunit ribosomal RNA", at positions 954 to 1382 of the family's 1533-position model. The record is from RNAcentral. Lineage: Bacteria; Pseudomonadati; Bacteroidota; Sphingobacteriia; Sphingobacteriales.